Molecule: ribosomal RNA, 468 nt
Filed under: uncultured bacterium
Lineage: Bacteria
Description: partial 16S ribosomal RNA
Rfam family: Bacterial small subunit ribosomal RNA
Source: RNAcentral
GACGAACGCUGGCGGCGUGCUUAACACAUGCAAGUCGAACGGAAAGGCCCUGCUUUUGUGGGGUGCUCGAGUGGCGAAAGGGUGAGUAACACGUGAGUAACCUGCCCUUGACUUUGGGAUAACUUCAGGAAAAUGGGGCUAAUACCCGAUAGGAGCUCCUGCUGCAUGGUGGGGGUUGGAAAGUUUCGGCGGUUGGGGAUGGACUCGCGGCUUAUCAGCUUGUUGGUGGGGUAGUGGCUUACCAAGGCUUUGACGGGUAGCCGGCCUGAGAGGGUGACCGGCCACAUUGGGACUGAGAUACGGCCCAGACUCCUACGGGAGGCAGCAGUGGGGAAUAUUGCACAAUGGGCGGAAGCCUGAUGCAGCAACGCCGCGUGCGGGAUGACGGCCUUCGGGUUGUAAACCGCUUUCGCCUGUGACGAAGCGUGAGUGACGGUAAUGGGUAAAGAAGCACCGGCUAACUACGUG